This 3161-nucleotide long non-coding RNA is filed under the name Marmota monax (woodchuck). Lineage: Eukaryota; Metazoa; Chordata; Mammalia; Rodentia; Sciuridae. The record is from RNAcentral.
GUCCAUUCAUGCUCCUGACUUCCCUGGGAGCCUGGCCAGCUCCAUGUGCAGGCUGGAGAGCAGUUGUGCAGGCUGGCCCUCCCACUGGGCUGAGACUGGGGAGUGUGGCAGGGGCUGCACCAAAUGCCCCAGGGGCAGCUUGUGUUUGGAGAAGUCCCCAUCUCUGUUGUCCUGGGGUCUACCUGCCACCACCUGAGCUGUAAUUACAACUGUCUUAUGUCUGGCCAAGCUAAGCCGCUCUACUGAGCAGUGGGGAUCAGUGACAGCAGGGGUUGAAGGUGAUGAGGGGUGGGGUGUGGGAGCUCAGGAGCAGGACCUGCUAAGAAUAGACCUGGACACCUUCCUUCCCAGCAGUUUGGAAGGGUGUGCGGGACCAGCCCCACACUGGGCUCUCAACAAGCUGGUAGGGCACCCACCCCUGCUUGGAUUGCCACCUUCCUAUCUCUAUACCCAGGACAGGACUUGUGUGUCCCACCCCCAUCCCAUUCCUGUCCUCUGCCUGUAGCUGCAACAGACUACCCCCCAAGACAGAUGGCACUCUAUCUCCCAUCACUCUGUCCUCACAACAAGGUGAGUCUCAGCCUUGAGAGCCUCAGUCUCUUCAUCUGUGGAGGAUACCCUACCUGUGACAAAUAGGCAUGUCUUAUGGGAUUUUGUUUUGGUUUGUUUUGUUUAUACUGGGGAUCGACCACAGGGUCUUGUGCUUGAGUGCGCUACCAUGAGGUGGGGUAGAGGCUUCCACUUGUACAGUGCCAAGUUAUAUCCCUAGCCCUUUUUUAAAAAAAUAUUUAUUUUUUAGUUGUAGUUGGACACAAUACCUUCAUUUUAUUUAUGUAUUUAUUUAAUUUAUUUUAUUUUAGGGCCGCACACGUGCAAGGCAAGCGCUCUACCACUGAGCCACAACCCCAGCCCUCCCCAGACUUUUAAAAUUUAUUUUGAGACAGAGUUUUUCUAAGUUGCCCAGGUGGACCUCAAACUUGUGAUCCUUCUGCCUCAGCCUUCUGAAUAACUAGAAUUACAGGUAUACUCCAUUACACCAGCUUGUCUCAUGGGAUUUCUGUAAAGAUGUGCUAAGACUGUGCAUAUGAAAGGUUUGGUGCAGGGCCUGGACAGAGCAAGGCCACACUAAGACCACACUAAAGGGGCUGUUGGGGGUGAGUUCACACCUGGCCCUGAACUGCCUCAUUUAAACCUCCCAGGUUCUGUUCACAUACUCCCGAUUUUCUCAAGGAAGGAUUUGGGAUUUAGCAGGAUUAGUGAGGUACCCAAGGUCACACAGCUGUAGGUGGCAGAGCUGGGGCUCCAACCUGGCCAUCCUGGACUUGCAAGUUCAAACUCUACAGCAACAACCUGCUCAGCCCGCAAGGAGGGUGCCUAUGGACCUCAGUGGAGGAGAGCCUGUUUUGCACAGGGUUUUCUGUUUUCAAUUGCUGAGCACCCGGGGAGGAGCUCAGAUGUGGCUGCCUGGCUCUUUGUUCAGUCCUCUGAACAGGGCUCUGAGCCUGGGUGGGUGGCUGGGCAGCCACUAGCUUGCAGAGACAAGUGGAGGACUAUACAGGAUCCCCCACUUCCCUCAGCACCUCUCUCUCAGGUCUGAUGGUGGGGAGAAGAGGGGACGGGAAUAGAUGGUUGAGCUUGAUUUACUCCCCUUUUGUUGGAGUAGGUUCCUGAGGCCAGGGCAGAUGCUGCAGUGUGUGCGGUGCUGAGAAACGGACCCUUGCCUGGAGCUGGCAGGCCCUGGGUAGAUGACACUGCAGUGCAGCUUUGGGAUUCCAGGCACAUCCUGAGGCUUCAGCAGAGGCUGUGAGGGUGAAGCCAGGGCCUGGGCCUGCAUGGUUGAGAGAUGCCAGAGCAGACAAACCCUGUGCUACCAGCACCGGCCUCUGUCUUUGGAGAAGUGACCUCAAAAAAUACUCAGGAGGACAGGCCUGUGAAGCCUCAGGGACCCUGCCACGCCCAUACCCCUCUUCCUGAGCCCAUGGCUCUGAGGCUCUGAGAGCUCUCUCCUACCACCUCCAGAUCAGGGGCUCUACCUCCCUAUACUCCUUGGAUUUGUUGCUUAAAAGAUGGGGAGAAUAAUCCCUUCCUGGGACGAUGAGAUUGGGUGAUGUGUGCCUAGGAGGGAGUCUGGCCCACAGGAAGGCUAAAUCACAAAGCCUCCUCUUCCUGGCUCAGGGGUCUAUGAGUUCACAGGCAGCAAGCACCAUGUCUGGACUUCCAGAGGUGACACAUGGCACUGAGUGGAUCAAGCCCCUUGUCCCUGUGCUUACCUCCUUGCCAAGAAUCCUUUCUCUGACCAUUGAACUCACAGAAAGCACACAGGCCAGCAGUUCCAUAUAGGUCCUUCUGGAAAAACAACGAGUUUGCAGCUGUAGGGCCUGGAGACAGGAGAAGGGACAAAGGUGUGACCCCCUAACUUUCUUAGGGCCUAUUCAGGGAAGGGAAUAGGGUGGCCUCCCCUCAUCCAGGCAUCCUGUGAUAGGAUAGGGAAUGGCCAAAGAAAAGGGACAUGAGAGUGACUCUAGUAGAUGAGUCAUGGGGUGUGCUGUCAAGGUGCUCACUACUCAUCCCCCAAAUGACAGGGAACUCUUGGAAUUGAUCAGAGCCUUGCAAAGCAGCUCCGUAGAAAGCAGAGCCUUCUCCCAUUCCAGGGAAGACCCCAGGGAGUGGAGACCUCGGUGUAGGAAAGGAUCCCCAUGAGUGAAAUCUGAGCAAACUCCUUGGAGAAAGGGGUCUGUGAGAGACCGGUGGUUGAGGAGAGGAAAGUCCAGAGUCCCAGAGAGGUGGAGGUUGGACAGGGAAAGGCAUAGGUGUGGGACACAGGCCCAAGCGGUGGCCUGGGCAGAGUGGGAAGAUGGUGUGCGUGAACCUGUGGGAGGAGACCAUCCCAGUGGAGGAGGCUGGACAUAAACUGCCCCAGCUGUCAUGAGCCAGGGAUCAUAGAGCAAAUUAGAGGUGGAUCCUUCUCUGUGCCUUCAAGUGAUUUUCCUAGGGCAAAUAGGUUCUGAGGAAUAGGAUCACUAGGUUAAAGGUCAUGCAUAUUUUUAUUUUUUUUUAACUUAAGUUGACAAAUGGCCUCCAGAAAGCAUCUCCAGCUCCCAUGCCCUGGGUGGGUUAUGAGAAAGCUGGGGAGNGUAGAGGUCGAGGGUACGGGACCCACC